ACCGGUUGAAAACUAUACAACUUAGACGUUUCAUCAACACCUGUGCUAUGAAUACUGCAGACGACAUGAUGGAGUUCAGGAGGCAUUUCAUCCUGCUUGUGCAAGAUGUUCCUGUGUUUGACUGUGACUGUGCAGCACGUCAUCUCGCCGUGGCACAUCGAUACAAUACUCAAUGUUUCUAAUUCGCGGAGAUACCGAUGGCCUUUGCACAUUUUUCAAUGGUUAGAAACGGUGAUCAAGAAGUAUCAACUUAAAAAUAACAAGUCCUGUGAGGGCUGCAUGUUCGCAUUGCUGGUAUUGUACUUCCAGAAACUAAAGCAUGGUAAACUCAAGACAUGUCAAGAACCGGAGCCGUGGCUAGCUGCAUGGACUGCCACAGUGCUUAGCGCUAUGGUAGCAACUGUUUAACCAUAGGAUUGCGGCAACACCAGCGGAAACGAUGGUGGGGUUGUCGAAGGACGUGCAAGUAGUGUCACAAUGAAUCCGGGUCCUAAAAGCGCAGACCUACACCAUGAUGCAUGAGCAUCUUAAGCACUUUUCAUUAGCAUUUCUUAUAGAAAAAUUGUGACAUUUGCUUAAUAAUUAUAUGAUUUUCAAGGCUUUUCUAUUAGUACAUUGAUUUUCUUGGUUUCAUGAUUCUUGUAGGAAAAUUUUAGGAAAAGAGAAUCAAAAGAAUAAGGAGGAACCAAUAAUUAAAGACAAGUGCAAAGAGAAUUUGUAGAUGCUGUCAACCGUGACCUCUUCACACUCCAAUAAACAUAACUUGAGCUAAAAAAGUUUAAUUGACGUGAUUUCAGUGGCGUUAGAAAGCCAACUUUCAGAGCUUUCCAACAAUAUAUAAUAGUUUAUACUUUUUCUCUAGCAUCGUGGCGCUAAACGCUGCGACAUUGGCGUUUAGAGCCAAAUCGCAUCCAGCAUCACCAUUUCAUGCGGGAGUCCCGGCGCGAAACGCCUGACAAGUAGCAAGGAAGAGUAGAAUUGCGUAAAAAAAGGUGCCAAAUGCCACUAAAGUGGUGUGGAACACCUACAAAAGCCCCAGACUCGAGAAAUCUUUGUAAUUAAUGAAGAUUUAAAGACACCAAGAUUAAAUUACAAGGAAGAUCACUAGUUAGUCAAGGAGUCAUUAAGAAAAGAUUUGAUUUGGUUAGAUUUAAUUUUGUUUUGAUUUAAUUUGAAUUUGAAUGAUUAGAUUUGAUUUUGUUUUGAUUUAGUUUAAAUUUGAAUUCUAGGUUUAGUCUUAGAGGUUUUACUAUAAAAGGGGACUUCCUUCCUCCCC
Molecule: non-coding RNA, 1276 nt
Organism: Arachis ipaensis
Lineage: Eukaryota; Viridiplantae; Streptophyta; Magnoliopsida; Fabales; Fabaceae
Source: RefSeq, a predicted model, not a curated record